ACGCUCGACACCUACGGGAGGCAGCAGUGGGGAAUAUUGCACAAUGGGGGAAACCCUGAUGCAGCGACGCCGCGUGAGCGAAGAAGUAUUUCGGUAUGUAAAGCUCUAUCAGCAGGGAAGAAACUGACGGUACCUGACUAAGAAGCACCGGCUAAAUACGAGCCAGCAGCAGCGGUAAUCUGAGCGGCUGGCAAGGC
RNAcentral lists this ribosomal RNA (197 nucleotides) under uncultured bacterium. RNAcentral's name for it is "partial 16S ribosomal RNA". It matches the Rfam family "Bacterial small subunit ribosomal RNA", at positions 328 to 539 of the family's 1533-position model. The record is from RNAcentral.